Molecule: ribosomal RNA, 272 nt
Filed under: uncultured prokaryote
Description: partial 16S ribosomal RNA
Rfam family: Bacterial small subunit ribosomal RNA
Source: RNAcentral
GUGUUAGCCGCCGCGGUAAUACAGAGGGUGCGAGCGUUAAUCGGAAUUACUGGGCGUAAAGCGUGCGUAGGCGGCUUUUUAAGUCGGAUGUGAAAUCCCCGAGCUUAACUUGGGAAUUGCAUUCGAUACUGGGAAGCUAGAGUGUGGGAGAGGAUGGUAGAAUUCCAGGUGUAGCGGUGAAAUGCGUAGAGAUCUGGAGGAAUACCGAUGGCGAAGGCGGCCAUCUGGCCUAACACUGACGCUGAGGUGCGAAAGCAUGGGGAGCAAACAGG